This is a long non-coding RNA of Heterocephalus glaber (naked mole-rat), 4182 nucleotides long. RefSeq lists it as uncharacterized. The record is from RefSeq and is a predicted model, not a curated record. NCBI's taxonomy places the organism in Eukaryota, Metazoa, Chordata, Mammalia, Rodentia, Bathyergidae.
AGAAAUCCACAGAUUUCAGCACUCUGACCUGAGCCGAAUCAGCUCCUUUGAGUCGCAGGACAUUCUGCUGGGUCUCUCAUGAAUCAGAAGGCAGCUGUGUCAUCCUGCCUGGCAUAGGCGGGUGUUUUCAAGGGUUGCUUGGCUCAGAGGCACAGUGCUGCCCUUGGUCUGUCCUUUACUUCAAUCCAUCCUCCUGGCUCCACCUCAAGGAUUCUGGGUAUCUGGGCUUCCUCAACCCCCCACCUCCAUAUGGAGAGGAAGAGAGGACUCAGAAUCUGAAUGCAGGUGUAGGUCUCUGAGCACCAACCACACCGUGCUAGUGACUGUCACCCACACCGGGCUGCAUGCUGCAUGACUUUUCGUAUCCUUCCACCAGUAAUGGGAUGCUCCUCACCCUUGCUCUGUGUUCUGUGCCCCUGUUUAUCCACUCUUUCAUGUGAUCUCAAGUAAAAGUUCUCUGCCUGAUGUACACAGGGCCAAUGAGGCUCUGGCACUGGUUUUGUGAAAAGAAAGAGCUUAUCACAAGGACAACCUGCAGAGAACCAGAGCAGAACCUCAAGUCCUCCUCUGUGGGUUGGCAGCAGGGAUCUACAGGAAAGGAGAGGGGAAAGCUGUUUGUAGGUUGGAUGACAAGAGGGGUAGCCCUGGGGCGCUUCCAUGCAGGCAUAGAUGCCAUCCUGCUUCUUCACAGGGGGAGUACUUCUUUUCAGGACAAGCACACAGCUUGGUAGAUCUGAGCAGGAGAUUUUGAGCGUCAGACAUCAAAAGACCAUGGACCAGAAAAGCUGGCUUCUGUGCAGGUCUGUUAACAUCUGCACGUGGAUUCUGGAGGCAAGUUUCUGAAAAACAGCUUAAGUACGUUGUUAUUUAAAAAAUUCACUCGAGGGUGUGUUCAGGCCUAAGUGGGUUUCAUGUGGAUAUGAACCAGGCAGCCCUCUCCAAACAUUUGAAUUCCUUGGUCAAUUGUAUUUUGUUUCAGGAUCUCUUACGAUAUUGCACACACAUCUUUCCACUUUUUCCCCCAAAUAUUUCACUUCCUCUGGAAUCAUGAAACACUUUGAAAGUUGGAUAUGCAUUUUACGUACAGAUUCCUAUGGGGAGAGUGACCGCAUUCACAGUGUUCUGCCUCUCCCUUCCCCUCCCUUGAAUUCUGUUCCCUCCUGAUGUGUCCUGGGAGACACCUCGCUGUUCCCCUGGCUCGAAGUAAUCUUAUUUUCAGGUGCAUUAUACGAUCUUGGUUUCUGUGCCUAAGACGGACCUUUUCUCAUUUCUCUCUGACAAGUGUUCUGGGGAGGUGAAUGACUUUUUCCCCCCUUAUCUGCAGUGAGCUCGUCUUUUUGGCAAACUCAUAAUCAUUCCUGUAGAAAUUCCAGGAGACAACCUGCCCAUCACUGGAGCUUCCUCUGACCGAAGGCUGCCAGACACCUGCCUGAAGCUCUGGAAACACAAACCAGUGGCCAGGGGAUGGCAGAUGCCAGCCCCACGCAAAGCUGAGGCUGGGCUGGUAAAACAGCCAGGCGAAGGAGGCCUCAGCAGGCCUUGCAGCCACCGUCCCCUCCUCCCCACUUGGCGUAUCCAGGGACAGCCCACCAUGUCCGCCUCCUGAGCCAUUCCAUGCAUCUGCCAUGGGGAUCUCCGAAACAGAUCCUGUCUCCUGGAAAGGAAAUGAUUGAUGUUUGACCAAAGUUCCAAGUCAAGAACGAGUCACUGGAGCUAAUUAGAGCCAACAUCAACCAGGUCCCUCUGCAGACCAGCCAAGCACCUCCAGACGAGUCCAGACUUUGAAAAGAAAGAAUUUCAACAGAGUUCUGAAAACACAUACACAUACAUAAUCUCUUCCCACCAUGAGGACCCCUUGAGAGUCUGAAGAAUAUUGAAAAGAUAAUAGAAAUCACUGUACUUUCCUUCCUUGAAAAUGAUGUGAUGGCUGGAGCUGCAGCGGCACCUCUGUGGCUAUGAGGAGCAGGCCAAAAGGAUUGCUAGGAGGACUUUGCUGGUGUCACUGAGCUGCAGAGCAGCCCCAGGGAGUGAAGUCGUGAUCAGACAGGGCUGCCUGCCUGCUCUUGGUCCUCCUCAAGGGCACAGCCAGGCCCAGGGGACCUGCUCCGACUCCCUGGCAGCUGUGAGACCCUGGCCCGUUAUUCACAGGCUCUGUGCCCACUUCCCUCCCUUGAGAACUGGGGAGGACCCAGAAAGGGUCCGAUGAGGUCGUCACCAGAAGCCUCCAGAAUUCCCUCAAGGACGAUCGGGACCCUGAUUUUCAAGAGUGCACAUUCCCAGAAGCAACAGCCUUCAUGUCCACGCCUUUUGAUGUCACAAGCUCAAAAUCCCCACACAGAGCAUGAUAACCAAAACCAUGUGAUCUGUAAAGAGACAUGAUGACCAUCUACACCUGCGCAAAAGAACCCGAAAACUCCCCUUUUCAACACCCACCCGACAAGCAGCUUCUCCCUCGCCCCUUCCUAUAAAUCUGCAGCUACCACGUAAUCAGGAGACAGAUUUGAGCUCAGUUGGACACAAAAAUCAAGCUCUUUCUUUUCACAAAACCCAGUGUCAGGGCACCCUGGCUCCAUCACGUGGAGGUGAUGAGAACAUUGGAAAGAAUCAUAACUGUGGUUGACUAAAGCACAUGCAAUUUAUAAAAAUUCACAACCCCAUAAAAAUGGUCAAAGAAGAGAGUGAGGAAAGUGACCUCUCUGCUUAUUAGAAAGGAUUUGCAGAUCAUACAGAUGAAGAAAUUCGUGGAUCGAGGUGUGUGGGAAGGGGCAGGACCUUCCAUGCCCUCUGGGCUCUGCCUUCUAGGAAUCUCCAUCUGUACAGCUAGUUAUUCAGAAGCUCCCAAACCUAGUCCUGGGCCAUGUUUAUGAAGGCUUCAUUAUCUAGACAUGAUUGAUUACAUCACUGGCCAAUGGGAUCAACCUUACCCUGAGCCCUGCCCCUUCCCUGAAGGUUGGGGGCAGGGACGGAAGUCCUACCCCAUAACCCUCCCUGGUCUUUCUGGGAUGACCCCCUGGCCAAGGCUACCCAGGGGCUGCCAGCUAUCAGUUAUCUCAUUAGCAAAUGGAUAGAUGCUGUCACUUCGGAGAGUCUAAGGAUCUUGAGAGUUGUAUGCCCUGAAAUAGAAACAUAAAAUAGCAUUUCCCAGCAUCACUUAUCCCCUAACAAAAUAACCAACUCAAGUCUUCUUCAUCCAGGGAUGCUAAGGUGGUGGAUCAGGUGCUGGAUAUUCUCAGGUUGCAGAGUUCCUCCCAGCACCAGGGAAUACACACUUUGGCCCAGGAGGUGGGCCACAGUGAGAGAUGGGAUGUGACCCAGGACCACAAUCCUGGUGUCUUCAAUAUGUCAAUGCCAUGAGAAAGAGAGACGGAAGGAGUGACUUAGCUUGAAAGACAUAUGAAAAUAUAAAACCCAAAGUUACAUCUCUGGUUUGCAGGAGCCACACUUAAAGCCAUCUCAGGGACAUUAGAUUUUUGUGUGGAUAUUAGAUAAUAUUAAAUGAUUGCUGGUUUUCUUAGCUAUAAAAAACUAGAUUGAAAUUGUAUGAGACAAUAUCUUUAAUUUUAUAGGAGAAAAGAAAAGUAAUUGGGGUUAAAUGCCACAAUGUGUGUCAUUUUUUUAAAACAAUACUGCAGCAAAAAUGAUACUUAUAAUCAAUAUAGGUAAAUGGUAAUCAUGAAAGCUAGGGCACAGGUUUACACAUGUUCACAGUCACUCUACUUUUCUUGUGGCUGAAAAUUUCAUGAUGAGAAAAGAAUAAGAAAGACCAGUGGCUCCACAGCAGCACAUUAGAAAAAGGCCACAUCCAGGGCAGAUCUUUUCUGGUGUCUCUACUGAAGGACCAAAGGGAAGGUGGGCAACCAGGCCACUGCAAGCCACUGUCAUGCCUGACCUGAGUGAGAGCCUCUCAGCAAACACCACCCUCAAAAACAGCAAGAAAACACUAAGGGCCAUGCUGUCCUCAGCAAACAGAACAGAGAGCCAUACAGAAAAUUUGGGACAAGACAUCCCAUCUCCCCAGUACCAAGAAACCUGACAUCUACACACCUGCACUGAGCAUCCUGAGAUCCUCAAACAAAACCAUUCCACCCCAGACUCCUUAGGGCAGCACCCCCUUACCCCAAACCCUAUAAAAAUUUUGCUUCUUCUCCAGCCAAUUGCUGAUAUCUUUCUCAAUCUCAGCCU